RNAcentral lists this unclassified non-coding RNA (258 nucleotides) under Hevea brasiliensis (rubber tree). Lineage: Eukaryota; Viridiplantae; Streptophyta; Magnoliopsida; Malpighiales; Euphorbiaceae. The record is from RNAcentral.
AAGUCAGUGUGUAUGUGUCUUGUGCGGUCAGGGUUUUGAAGAUUUUUAUGAUGAAAAGAGUGACAAGUGGAUGUUCAAAGGAGCUAUUUACAUGGAUGAUUCAUUGAACGAAAGCGGUAUUCAGAAUUGUAUAGUCCAUGAGAACUGUACAUCAGAGGGUUCUCAAAAUUGGAUGCUUAAGGAUGAUAUAAAACAGGAGUCGGAAGACUGGUUUUCUGAUUUCAUGGAUUAAAAGGAAUUGCGCAGGGGUAUGUUAAU